UACGAAGGGGGCUAGCGUUGUUCGGAAUUACUGGGCGUAAAGCGCACGUAGGCGGAUACUUAAGUCAGGGGUGAAAUCCCGGGGCUCAACCCCGGAACUGCCUUUGAUACUGGGUAUCUCGAGUCCGGAAGAGGUGAGUGGAAUUCCGAGUGUAGAGGUGAAAUUCGUAGAUAUUCGGAAGAACACCAGUGGCGAAGGCGGCUCACUGGCUCGGAACUGACGCUGAGGUGCGAAAGCGUGGGGAGCAAACAGG
RNAcentral lists this ribosomal RNA (253 nucleotides) under uncultured bacterium. RNAcentral describes it as "partial 16S ribosomal RNA". It matches the Rfam family "Bacterial small subunit ribosomal RNA", at positions 524 to 776 of the family's 1533-position model. The record is from RNAcentral.